AGUUUGAUCCUGGCUCAGGACGAACGCUGGCGGCGUGCUUAACACAUGCAAGUCGAACGGAAAGGCCCUUCGGGGUACUCGAGUGGCGAACGGGUGAGUAACACGUGGGUGAUCUGCCCUGCACUCUGGGAUAAGCCUGGGAAACUGGGUCUAAUACCGGAUAGGACCGCAUGCUUCAUGGUGUGUGGUGCAAAGCUUUUGCGGUGUGGGAUGAGCCCGCGGCCUAUCAGCUUGUUGGUGGGGUAAUGGCCUACCAAGGCGACGACGGGUAGCCGGCCUGAGAGGGUGACCGGCCACACUGGGACUGAGAUACGGCCCAGACUCCUACGGGAGGCAGCAGUGGGGAAUAUUGCACAAUGGGCGCAAGCCUGAUGCAGCGACGCCGCGUGAGGGAUGACGGCCUUCGGGUUGUAAACCUCUUUCAGUAGGGACGAAGCGAAAGUGACGGUACCUACAGAAGAAGGACCGGCCAACUACGUGCCAGCAGCCGCGGUAAUACGUAGGGUCCGAGCGUUGUCCGGAAUUACUGGGCGUAAAGAGCUCGUAGGUGGUUUGUCGCGUUGUUCGUGAAAACUCACAGCUUAACUGUGGGCGUGCGGGCGAUACGGGCAGACUAGAGUACUGCAGGGGAGACUGGAAUUCCUGGUGUAGCGGUGGAAUGCGCAGAUAUCAGGAGGAACACCGGUGGCGAAGGCGGGUCUCUGGGCAGUAACUGACGCUGAGGAGCGAAAGCGUGGGUAGCGAACAGGAUUAGAUACCCUGGUAGUCCA
RNAcentral lists this ribosomal RNA (770 nucleotides) under uncultured bacterium. RNAcentral describes it as "bacterial SSU rRNA". It matches the Rfam family "Bacterial small subunit ribosomal RNA", at positions 10 to 797 of the family's 1533-position model. The record is from RNAcentral.